GUGGCUGUAGCUCAGCUUGGUUAGAGCGCCAGUUUGUGGCACUGGAGGUCGUGGGUUCAAGUCCCAUCAGCCACCCCA
RNAcentral lists this transfer RNA (78 nucleotides) under bacterium. RNAcentral describes it as "tRNA-His". It matches the Rfam family "tRNA". Rfam says of the family: Transfer RNA (tRNA) molecules are approximately 80 nucleotides in length. Their secondary structure includes four short double-helical elements and three loops (D, anti-codon, and T loops). The record is from RNAcentral.